AUGAACGUCGUAAAAGUCAAAAACAGUGGUGUAGCUAUUGCAAAAGCUCAACACACAAAGACGCAUCUAGUGACGCAUGAAGAGGACGCAGAUAAACAUGCUGCAUUUGUCUUCAAAACGUGUGAUUAUCAACUAGACGGGCUGAAACAUAAAGGACUAAUGGCUGAUACGGGAGCAACAUCACACAUAAUUACCGACAUCGGAAAGUUUAAGAAAUUUGACGAGACUUUCCAAACGGGCAAACAUUUCAUUGAGCUUGCGGACGGGACAAGAGCGAGUGGCGUUGCGCUGAAGAGAGGUGACGCGGAGAUAUGUUUGAUUGACAGUGAAGGAAAGCAAGUGAGUACAACGCUAAAGAAAGCACUGUACAUUCCUUCAUAUCCACAAGACAUAUUCUCUGUUAAAGCAGCGACUGCCAACGGGGCUUCUGUUCGUUUUCGACAAGGACAUGACGAGCUCAUCCACAAGGAUGGCACGAGAUUUGAAAUAAAAGAGUAUAAUAGACUGUACUAUCUAAACACUAUAGAUAAGGGAGGAGAUUAUUGUAACGGCUGUUACGACAUUCAAACUUGGCACGAAAUCCUCGGCCACUGCAACUAUGAUGAUGUUUCCAAGUUGCCAGAUAUUGUGGAAGGAAUGGAAAUCAAAGGAAAGAUUGACAAGUCCAAACUGCACUGUGAAGUCUGCACACAAGGCAAAUUUGCGCAAAGCAGGAACAGAGAACCCGAUGCACGUGCCAAAGUCCCACUUGAACUUGUGCACACAGACUUGGCUGGUCCUAUUCAACCAGAGGCUAAAGAUGGUCACAGGUAUGCACUUGUAUUUGUUGAUGAUUUCUCAGGCACAAUAUUUGUUUACUUCCUGAAAGCGAAAAGUGACACUGUAAAGGCUACGGAAAAAUUCCUAGCAGACACUGCUCCUUAUGGUACUGUAAAGUGCAUUAGGUCAGAUAAUGGCACUGAAUUCACAGCAACAAAUUUUCGGUCAUUGCUAAGCAAAAAUCGCAUUAAACAUGAGACCUCUGCACCGUAUUCACCCCACCAAAACGGUACUGCUGAAAGAAGUUGGCGAACAUUGUUUGAAAUGGCCAGAUGCAUGCUCAUUGAGAGUAAAUUACCAAAAGAGUUAUGGACUUACGCUGUGAUGACUGCUGCAGUAAUUCGCAACAGAUGCAUUAAUAACAGAGUAAAGCAGACUCCAUACUACAUGUUGACAGGAAGAAAACCGGAUCUUUCAAAGAUGAGAGUUUUUGGAUCCAUGUGCUAUGCAUACAAACACGACAGAAAGAAGCUAGAUUCACGUUGUGAGAAGGGAAUAUUUGUUGGGUAUGACAAGAAUAGCCCUUCAUACCUAGUGUAUUACACAGACACUGGAAGAGUCCUUAAACACAGGCUUGUCAAAUUCUUCAAGAAAUGUGCUGUCGAGCAGCAAACUCAAACUGACCCACAAAUACCAGAUGAGGAUGUUUAUGGGGGAAGUUAUUUGCCAUCUAAGGUAACAACAAACAUCACUGAACAGAGUUCAGGGAAGUCUCAAGAUAGUGGAGACAAAACAGAUCUUCAAAAUGAUGAUCAGACUGAAAAUAUUCAGAAUAGAUGCAACCCCAAAAGGAACAGGAAAGCUCCCCAAUACUUAUCUGACUACGUAACUGGUAUUGAAGAUGAUGAUCAGAUACUUACUAAUAUUGACUACUGUUACAGAAUGUGUAAUGUACCACAAACCUUCAAGGAAGCCAUGAGUUCAACCAAAUCACAGAUCUGGAUUAAAGCCAUGGAAGAAGAGAUGGAUUCUCUAAAAGAAAAUGGAACUUUUACGUUGAUGGCUCUACCCGAAGGCAAACAUGCAGUGGGGGGUAGAUGGGUCUAUGCAAUCAAGAACAAUGCAGAUAACAAUGAAACAUAUAAGGCUAGAUAUGUUGCUAAGGGUUAUAGUCAAGUAAUGGGAAGAGACUAUAAGGAAACCUUUUCUCCAACAGCAAAUAUCACAUCAGUUCGUGUCUUGAUGCAAAUGGCAGCACAGUAUGACCUUGUUCUACAUCAGAUGGAUGUGAAAACGGCUUACUUACAUGCUCCAAUUGAUUGUGAGAUCUAUGUGGAACAGCCAGAAGGUUUUGAGGUAAAAUCAAAUACUGGUGAAAAACUUGUCUGUAAACUGAACAAGUCAUUGUAUGGUCUGAAACAGUCAGGUAGAAACUGGAAUAAGUUACUGCAUGAUUACCUGAGUGAAAAUGACUUUAUGCAAAAUCCUGCAGACUCUUGUGUCUACAGCAGACAAACUGGAAAAGAGAGAGUGAUGCUAAUAAUCUGGGUUGAUGAUCUGAUUAUUGCUUCUAGUACCAACGAGUUACUAAAUGAUGUGAAAAGGAUGCUGACAGCUAAAUUCAAGAUGAAAGACCUUGGUAAAUUAAAACAUUUCCUAGGCAUUGAUUUUGAGCAAAUGGAUGGAGUUGUGAAAAUGAAUCAAAAGGGGUACAUCUUAAAAAUACUGGAAAGGUUCAACAUGUCGAAUAGUAAGUCCAGAUCGACCCCAUGUGAACAAAAGCUAGAGUAUAACGGUGAUGGAAACUCUGUAAACCACACAAGGUAUCGUGAAGCAGUAGGUAGUUUGACCUAUCUAAUGACAUGUACUAGACCAGAUCUUAGUUGGGCUGUGAGUAAAUUGUCUCAAUCUAUGUCAAAACCAAAUGAGCAACACUGGUGUACAGUGAAGCAUGUGAUGAGGUAUCUGAAAGGUACAGUAAACCAAGAACUGACGUACAAGAAGAGUAACGAGAAGCUGAAACUUACGGCAUACAGCGAUGCUGACUGGGCAUCAGAUCCAAAUGACAGACGAAGUACGACUGGAUACUGUUUUAGUCUAACCAAAAAUGGUCCCCUCAUUUCCUGGAAGUCAAAGAAGCAGCCUACAGUUGCUUUGUCAACAUGCGAAGCGGAAUAUAUGGCACUGGCUGCGACCACACAAGAAAGUCUGUACCUUGUACAAUUGAUGAAUGGACUGGAAAAUGGAUGUCAGUAUGCACCGGUAAAAAUCUUUGAGGAUAACCAAGGUGCAAUUGCUCUUUCCAAAAACCCUGUUUGUCGACAAAGAUGUAAACACGUUGACGUUAGGUACCACUUCAUUCGAUCAGCAAUUAGUGAUGGUAAAAUAACAAUUGAGUACUGUCCAACAACAGAAAUGGUUGCUGAUGUGAUGACUAAACCAAUGACGAAGUAUAAGAAAGAAAAGUUUGAAAGCUUUAUGUUUGGGGCAUAA
Long non-coding RNA from Scleropages formosus (Asian bonytongue), 3252 nucleotides. The record is from Ensembl. NCBI's taxonomy places the organism in Eukaryota, Metazoa, Chordata, Actinopteri, Osteoglossiformes, Osteoglossidae.